CGUGCCAGCAGCCGCGGUAAUACGUAGGUGGCAAGCGUUAUCCGGAAUUAUUGGGCGUAAAGCGCGCGUAGGCGGUUUUUUAAGUCUGAUGUGAAAGCCCACGGCUCAACCGUGGAGGGUCAUUGGAAACUGGAAAACUUGAGCGCGGAAGAGGAAAGUGGAAUUCCAUGUGUAGCGGUGAAAUGCGCAGAGAUAUGGAGGAACACCAGUGGCGAAGGCGACUUUCUGGUCUGUAACUGACGCUGAUGUGCGAAAGCGUGGGGAUCAAACAGGAUUAGAUACCCUGGUAGUCCACGCCGUAAACGAUGA
This 309-nucleotide ribosomal RNA is filed under the name uncultured bacterium. RNAcentral describes it as "bacterial SSU rRNA". It matches the Rfam family "Bacterial small subunit ribosomal RNA", at positions 504 to 812 of the family's 1533-position model. The record is from RNAcentral.